AUUGAACGCUGGCGGCAGGCCUAACACAUGCAAGUCGAGCGGAUGAAGGGAGCUUGCUCCUGGAUUCAGCGGCGGACGGGUGAGUAAUGCCUAGGAAUCUGCCUGGUAGUGGGGGAUAACGUCCGGAAACGGGCGCUAAUACCGCAUACGUCCUGAGGGAGAAAGUGGGGGAUCUUCGGACCUCACGCUAUCAGAUGAGCCUAGGUCGGAUUAGCUAGUUGGUGGGGUAAAGGCCUACCAAGGCGACGAUCCGUAACUGGUCUGAGAGGAUGAUCAGUCACACUGGAACUGAGACACGGUCCAGACUCCUACGGGAGGCAGCAGUGGGGAAUAUUGGACAAUGGGCGAAAGCCUGAUCCAGCCAUGCCGCGUGUGUGAAGAAGGUCUUCGGAUUGUAAAGCACUUUAAGUUGGAAGGAAGGGCAGUAAGUUAAUACCUUGCUGUCUUGACGUUACCAACAGAAUAAGCACCGGCUAACUUCGUG
RNAcentral lists this ribosomal RNA (484 nucleotides) under uncultured bacterium. Its description in RNAcentral is "partial 16S ribosomal RNA". It matches the Rfam family "Bacterial small subunit ribosomal RNA", at positions 30 to 507 of the family's 1533-position model. The record is from RNAcentral.